GACGUAGGGCGCGAGCGUUGUCCGGAUUUAUUGGGCGUAAAGAGCUCGUAGGCGGUUUGUCGCGUCGGGAGUGAAAACACCGGGCUUAACUCGGUGCUUGCUUUCGAUACGGGCAGACUAGAGGCAUGCAGGGGAGAACGGAAUUCCUGGUGUAGCGGUGAAAUGCGCAGAUAUCAGGAGGAACACCGGUGGCGAAGGCGGUUCUCUGGGCAUGUCCUGACGCUGAGGAGCGAAAGUGUGGGGAGCGAACAGG
Molecule: ribosomal RNA, 253 nt
Filed under: uncultured bacterium
Lineage: Bacteria
Description: partial 16S ribosomal RNA
Rfam family: Bacterial small subunit ribosomal RNA
Source: RNAcentral